AUUGAACGCUGGCGGCAGGCCUAACACAUGCAAGUCGAGCGGAUGAAGGGAGCUUGCUCCUGGAUUCAGCGGCGGACGGGUGAGUAAUGCCUAGGAAUCUGCCUGGUAGUGGGGGAUAACGUCCGGAAACGGGCGCUAAUACCGCAUACGUCCUGAGGGAGAAAGUGGGGGAUCUUCGGACCUCACACUAUCAGAUGAGCCUAGGUCGGAUUAGCUAGUUGGUGGGGUAAAGGCCUACCAAGGCGACGAUCCGUAACUGGUCUGAGAGGAUGAUCAGUCACACUGGAACUGAGACACGGUCCAGACUCCUACGGGAGGCAGCAGUGGGGAAUAUUGGGCAAUGGGCGAAAGCCUGAUCCAGCCAUGCCGCGUGUGUGAAGAAGGUCUUCGGAUUGUAAAGCACUUUAAGUUGGGAGGAAGGGCAGUAAGUUAAUACCUUGCUGUUUUGACGUUACCAACAGAAUAAGCACCGGCUAACUUCGUG
This 484-nucleotide ribosomal RNA is filed under the name uncultured bacterium. RNAcentral describes it as "partial 16S ribosomal RNA". It matches the Rfam family "Bacterial small subunit ribosomal RNA", at positions 30 to 507 of the family's 1533-position model. The record is from RNAcentral.